GCGUGUAUGAACAAUAUAAAUGGAAAGCCCAUCAGAAAGGCCCAAUUGAAUGAAUCCGGGUCCAACACGGGUCAACCCGUUUCAAAGAAGUUUUUUUUUCUGAUUCGGCUUUUCGCUUCCUCUCUGUUUUGCUACUUACUCCCUCUCUCGAUUCAAAAGUCUCUGCUUUGGCUUCUGGGUAUCGACGAGAGUAACGUGAUUCGGAGACUCAAGUGUUUUGUCUAGAAUUUCUGUUUCGUUGGUGUGUUCUUUAAGGAACAUGGAACACGACAAUGUAGCUGCUGUGAUAAGCAACCGGCGACACAAAACAUAACAGCCAAAAAAAAAGAAGAAAAAGGAAGGAAAUUGCAGAUUUUCAUAGCUUAGAAGGAAGAAGAAUGAGAAAGUCAUUGUACAUCAUAGCAGCUCAUGCUAACCUCGUAUCUCAAGUAAAGUAUGAACCACAAGAAGGCUACCUCCCUCCUGGCCACUGCAUCAUACGACAUGAAAGUCAAUAUAUGGUCAGACAGAGAUUUCUCGCUUGUUAGAAGCUUAGCAGGACACGAGUCAAAAGUUGCCUCAUCAGAUAUCACUGCAGAUAGCUCGUGUAUAGCAACUGUAUCACGUGACCGUACCAUCAAGCUUUGGACAAGCAGUAGCAACUAAGAGGAAGAAGAAGGCGGAGAAACAAUUGACAUAGACUUAUAAUAGUAUCGAUUUGUAAUCUUGUUGUGGAUUAUCCAUAGGAUGAUGAUACAUUGUCUUUGAAAAUUUUGCCAUGACGGUCAACAAGUUUCCCUGAGAUACUAUUUGACAACAUGAUAAGAAAAGAACGGAGAGAUGGGAUCUUCUAAAGA
Long non-coding RNA from Brassica napus (rape), 836 nucleotides. RefSeq lists it as uncharacterized. The transcript has 4 exons. NCBI's taxonomy places the organism in Eukaryota, Viridiplantae, Streptophyta, Magnoliopsida, Brassicales, Brassicaceae. The record is from RefSeq and is a predicted model, not a curated record.